UGAUGAUGAUGACAAGAAGCAGAUGAAGAAACGCUGAGACAAGCUCAGGCUACUUCUUUUGCUUGUUUUUCUUCUACUUCUCAGUCAUCCCAGUGGGAUAGCAUCUAGUGAAGUCGUGAGGCCUCUCCAGUGAUAAUGGCAAACCUCGGUGCUGCCGUGGCUCUGCCUGUGAAGAGCUGACCCCUGAAGGAAUUCCUGUUGAAGGAGCAGCACUAUGACAGGCAGAGUGGAGGGAUGCAGAUGGUGAAUGACUUGCCAAGGGUCAUGAAAGUCACCCUUUAAGAUGAAUAAACUGAGACUCAGAAAGGCAACUGACUUGCCCUGUGACAUAGCUGGAACAAGUCCAUCUGAUGUUGGUGCCUGUGUGCUUCCCACUAUGCCAAGAAAACUAAAACAUUAACAAGGAAAAGAAGAUUUUCAUGAGAAACCUAGUCCAGAGAUUUGAAAUAAAUUGUUCAAGAUCACGUCUAGAAAGUUCUACAACUGGGAUUCAGACUCAUACUUGAUAGACUUGAAAGCCUGUGCUCAUAACCACUACACCAUAUUGCCAAGUGGGAAGCUAUGAUAUUGCCAGAUGGAACAGGCUGCGGUUUUGCUAAUUUAGGGAAAAAGGAACUAGCAACGAUGCUUUCCAC
Molecule: long non-coding RNA, 635 nt
Organism: Pipistrellus kuhlii (Kuhl's pipistrelle)
Lineage: Eukaryota; Metazoa; Chordata; Mammalia; Chiroptera; Vespertilionidae
Exons: 3
Source: RefSeq, a predicted model, not a curated record